CAGUCGCCGCGGUAAAACGUGGGUGGCAAGCGUUGUCCGGAAUUAUUGGGCGUAAAGGGAGCGCAGGCGGGCAUAUAAGUCUUUCUUAAAAGUUCGGGGCUUAACCCCGUGAUGGGAUGGAAACUGCUGAUCUAGAGUAUCGGAGAGGAAAGUGGAAUUCCUAGUGUAGCGGUGAAAUGCGUAGAUAUUAGGAAGAACACCAGUGGCGAAGGCGACUUUCUGGACGAAAACUGACGCUGAGGCGCGAAAGCCAGGGGAGCGAACGGGAUUAGAUACCCCCGUAGUCCCUGUCUCUUAUACC
RNAcentral lists this ribosomal RNA (301 nucleotides) under uncultured bacterium. Its description in RNAcentral is "partial 16S ribosomal RNA". It matches the Rfam family "Bacterial small subunit ribosomal RNA", at positions 509 to 808 of the family's 1533-position model. The record is from RNAcentral.